UGAGGUUGCCACCUGAUCAGCCUGUCC
Molecule: non-coding RNA, 27 nt
Filed under: Mus musculus (house mouse)
Lineage: Eukaryota; Metazoa; Chordata; Mammalia; Rodentia; Muridae
Source: RNAcentral